This 485-nucleotide ribosomal RNA is filed under the name uncultured bacterium. Its description in RNAcentral is "partial 16S ribosomal RNA". It matches the Rfam family "Bacterial small subunit ribosomal RNA", at positions 28 to 507 of the family's 1533-position model. The record is from RNAcentral.
GAUGAACGCUAGCGGCAGGCCUAAUACAUGCAAGCCAAGGGCUGUUUGGUGUAGCAAUACAUCAAACAACCGGCGGACGGGUGCGUAACGAGUAUGCAACCUACCCUAUACAGGAGGAUAGACUUCGGAAACGAGGAUUAAUACUCCAUAAGAUUGCUCAGAGGCAUCUUUAAGCAAUUAAAGCCGCAAGGCGGUAUAGGAUGGGCGUGCGUCCGAUUAGCUAGUUGGUGAGGUAACGGCUCAACAAGGCGAUGAUCGGUAGGGGUUCUGAGAGGAAGCGCCCCCACAGGGGCACUGGGACACUGGCCCGAGUCCUACGGGAGGGAGCAGUAAGGAAUACAGGACAAUGGAUGAUUGCCUGAUCCAGCCAAGCCGCAUGCAGGAAGGAGGCCCUAGGGGUUAUAAACUGCUUUUGGGAGAGAGAAAUAAGGGCGAUGCGUCGCUCGAUGAUAGUACUGCGUGAAUAAGCAUCGGCUAACUUCGUG